AACGCGAAGAACCUUACCUAGACUUGACAUCUCCUGAAUUACCCUUAACCGGGGAAGCCCUUCGGGGCAGGAAGACAGGUGGUGCAUGGUUGUCGUCAGCUCGUGUCGUGAGAUGUUGGGUUAAGUCCCGCAACGAGCGCAACCCCUAUUUUUAGUUGCUACCAUUCAGUUGAGCACUCUAAAGAGACUGCCCGGGUUAACCGGGAGGAAGGUGGGGAUGACGUCAAAUCAUCAUGCCCCUUAUGUCUAGGGCUACACACGUGCUACAAUGGUGAGAACAAAGAGACGCGAGACCGCGAGGUGGAGCAAACCUCAUAAAACUCAUCCCAGUUCGGAUUGCAGGCUGAAACUCGCCUGCAUGAAGCCGGAGUUGCUAGUAAUCGCGAAUCAGCAUGUCGCGGUGAAUACGUUCCCGGGUCUUGUACACACCGAAUCGUCGACC
Molecule: ribosomal RNA, 442 nt
Filed under: uncultured Proteiniclasticum sp.
Lineage: Bacteria; Bacillati; Bacillota; Clostridia; Eubacteriales; Clostridiaceae
Description: bacterial SSU rRNA
Rfam family: Bacterial small subunit ribosomal RNA
Source: RNAcentral